CGUAAAAUUUCCACCAGCAUUUAGUGUAACAUUUAUCAGAACUAUGCUUGCAUAAGAACUUUUGUCAUUGAACAGGAAACUGAUGUGAAUAUGAUGUGUGCUUAGAUGAGAAGGAAGCUAAUGAUGAGAAGGAAGUGAAGGAGGCUUUGCAUGCAUGGAUACCUCAGCUAUUUCAUUAAAGGCAUUGCCUGCACAAGAUGUGAGAGGUCUUAAUAGUAAUGGGAUGGAAAGGAGGCAAUUCAAUACAGAGAAAACAUCACUCUCAAGGGUUUUCCUUGCCAGGAGGCUGUGAUAGGUCAUAUGAUACUAGAUAUACACCAAUGGACAAACACAAAGAGGCAUCUUCUUCUAACCAAUUGACAAGAUACACGUGGCUGUGAGUUUCCAUUCUUAGUUAGCGAGUGGUGCAAUCUCAACUUCCUUGAUACCACAGAGCUGUUUGGCAUGGGCAGGUAACCAAGAAAAGCCAGGGUAAAGAGCAUUCCAACAAUAGAGAUUGACAUUAGCUAUGCCCUUACAGCAUUCCUGGCUGUAGCUGAUCUUACCAGUCCUCAAAGAGCUGCUGUACUCAAUCGCACAAGUUCUAGCAGGAUACACAAGUGCAUUACAUGGUAGUCGUGGUACAAACUCGAAGGGAUUUCGAUGUCCUGGUUCAAAUUCUACUGUUUGGCCGUGUGCAACCAUGGUGGUCGCCGCGCCCACCAGUAGGACUAAUACCAUUAUGGACAAUGGCGAGGCCGCCGCCGCCAGUUUUCUUACACUCACCAUGAUAGAAACUCUAUACCUUUCUUCUUGAUUUCUUCUUGUUUGCAAUGUAAUGGGGUUCUCUGCUACUUUGGUUUUUAUAAGGAAAAAUAGACAAGCCUUUGAAAACCGUUUCCCUAUUAAUCAACCCUCCUUCAGUAAUGGCUUUUAAAUUAAAGAUGUUAUAUGGUGAAUAGAGUUUAUCAUUUGGUGACUUUGAUCACUAUCCCUUGUCGUAAAACAUAAGCGAUCAUCUUUGAAAUUCGACAUAUGGCUAAUCUAGACCGUUAUUUUUCUAUAUAGUGGGCAGAACAACCACAAGUGGGACAUAUAGGGAGGCCUCUCCAGUGAGUCAUGUAAAAGACUUUCACCAUUAAUUAUAGUUAAUGACAUGUUUUAAUGCUUUUAA
Macadamia integrifolia is the source of this 1153-nucleotide long non-coding RNA. RefSeq lists it as uncharacterized. The record is from RefSeq and is a predicted model, not a curated record. Lineage: Eukaryota; Viridiplantae; Streptophyta; Magnoliopsida; Proteales; Proteaceae. The transcript is spliced from 3 exons.